AUUUGUGUAGAUAACAGUAGAUUAAAGUCUAAAAUAAGAGAGGAGAUGGUGGAUGAAAUAGGGGAGUUUUGACAGCCUAAUUGUAAUUGGAAGCCUUUCUUGGCCUGCCCUCGGCGCGGAACCGUCCCGCACUCACGCAUCAGCGUCGCACACUCGCACGUGCCUCCGUCUUCGCUCCCUCGGUCCCUCCGCAGCGUCAGAUCGACCGUCGCUCGCGGAGCCCUAGCGACGCCGUUCUCAAGUCCGAGCCGGAGUAGCACGAGAGCCUUGCGGAUAUGAGUCGCGCCGCGGCAGCAAGAACGAUGGAUGAGGAAGCCGAGUACCUGGAGACGGCUCGGGCCGACCGCUCCGUGUGGCUCAUGAAGUGCCCCCCGGUCGUUUCCCGCGCCUGGCAGGCCGCCUCCGCCUCUUCCUCCGAUGCUGCCAACGCCAACCCCGUCGUUGCCAAGGUCGUCCUUUCCCUUGACCUGUUGCGCCAAGAAGAACGCCCGGAAGAGCCUACGCUCCAGUUCAAGAUGGAAUUGGCUCAAACUAACACCGGGAAUACACCUAAGAGCUACUCUUUGAAUAUGUUCAAAGAUUUCGUUCCUAUGUGUGUUUUCUCCGAAUCUAACCAAGGGAAACUUUCAUGUGAAGGAAAAGUCGAGCAUAAAUUUGACAUGGAACCUCACAGCGAUAAUUUGGCGAACUAUGGAAAGUUAUGCCGUGAAAGAACACAAAAGUACAUGGUUAAAUCUAGACAAGUGCAGGUACUUGACAAUGACCAUGGAAUGAGCAUGAGGCCAAUGCCUGGCAUUGUUGGUCUCAUAUCUUCUAGUUCAAAGGAAAAGAAGAAGCAAGCACCAGUGAAACCAUCUGAUGCCAAAAGAACUCGUAGGGAUCGCACGGAGAUGGAAAACGUUAUAUUCAAGCUUUUUGAAAGGCAGCCCAAUUGGGCCCUAAAGGCACUCGUGCAAGAAACUGACCAGCCAGAGCAAUUCCUGAAGGAGAUAUUGAACGAUCUGUGUGUGUAUAAUAAACGAGGUCCAAACCAGGGAACGCAUGAGCUCAAGCCUGAGUACAAGAAAUCCACAGGGGACACUGAUACUGCUUGAAGAUGAGAGACGACUUGGUCAAGGAUACCAUCAAUGCUAAAGGAAGAUCAUCGCCUCUUUAAAAAGCUUAUGAACAUGUGAACAAGCCGAUGAAUGUUUUAUCUUUAUGGAUUGCAGUUGCAGCAGUCUGAACACCUGGUUUUAAUCUAAAGCGAAUAGAUUGGAAGACAAAGCUUCAAUGUCGAUGAGAGGACUUUAGAGGAGAGAAGAAAUAAGAAGCUUCUACGAAUAGAAGAGAAGGCGUGUGUGACAAGUCUGUGGAGCAAAAUGAUAUUAUUGUACUCUCUUGGAUACAAAGAGUGACUAUGUAAUAGCUAGAGAAGAGUGUAAUUUUAUAGAAAUGUGUAAAGGACUCGACUCAUAUAUAGAUGAACAAUAUAAUCACUAUAGGAGUCAGCUACUUGUAAACAUCACACUUGUUACAUUCUUACCAGAGAGCUUUCGAAGACAGUGGUGUAGCUGCA
This is an RNA transcript of Zea mays, 1558 nucleotides long. It is a transcript of the gene named Transcription initiation factor IIF beta subunit, with no coding region annotated. Lineage: Eukaryota; Viridiplantae; Streptophyta; Magnoliopsida; Poales; Poaceae. The record is from RefSeq and is marked predicted. The transcript is spliced from 8 exons.